This is a long non-coding RNA of Canis lupus familiaris (dog), 1026 nucleotides long. RefSeq lists it as uncharacterized. The transcript is spliced from 3 exons. Lineage: Eukaryota; Metazoa; Chordata; Mammalia; Carnivora; Canidae. The record is from RefSeq and is a predicted model, not a curated record.
GAAGCUUUGCACUGUAGUAAAAUUCCUCUCACAAACUAUUUUUCAUAUUUGGAGAUAAGCCAUGCUGUUAAUAUUAGGGGACAGAGGCAUUGUUCUUUCUGAGGAUCUCCAAAGAGGGUUAAAGAUAAAAGACAGAGAUGGCAGCAUUUACCUUGGCAAACUUCUUCAACUAAGGGAUUCAUGAACAGGAAUAUGCAUGGAAACCAAGGAGAUAAGCUAUGUGAGCUACCAAUAACACCCCAUGUCACUGGGAGUCCCCACCAGGAGCACUGUUGACAGAAGCUGAAGGACAGUCAGUUCAUUUGUCUGUCAGCCACAUAAGAGGUAUCUUUCAGGCUUCCGUGAUUGUAGCAGUAUCUGUGACACUUUUCAACAACUCUAUGCUCAGACCUGAUCUGUGUGUAACCUAUCCUGGGCUCCUCCAAGAGGGAAGGAUAUGUUCCUCCCAUAUGACAAGCUCCCUGGGGUCCUGCUUGGUUGACCCUCUCUCUUUGGAGUGUAUAGAAACAAGAGAACAAGGUUUCCUGCAAAAGAUCAAGAUUCCUGCCCCAGAUAUAGAGAAAAAUUGAGGGUCCUCAGACCUCUGGUAUGUGAGAGGGGACCUAUGCAUUCCAAGUGAGCACCUGGAAAUCACUGCACCUUCCCUUGCUAAGUAGAGAUCCAUCACUUCCUUCUGCUGCAUCUGCUUCCUUUGCCUAAAAUGUUUCUUUUACUGAUGGCUCAAAUACCUUCAAUCCAGUUGACUUGGACACCUGAAGGGGAUAGUGGCACUGGCUCACCUUAAAACUGAAAGAGACCCACUUGAAACAACAGCAAGAGAACUAUUUGCACCCAAAAUACAAAAGGAAUGGGAUAAAGGAUGAUAAUAACCAAAUGCUGCAACAAGAAAGCAAAAGAUUAAGUGAAACUAACUUAUUGGAUAUGAGUAUAUUGAACACUUAACUGGUAGUAGAGAAAAGGGAGGAGUAAUCCAAUUUACCUCCCACAAAUAAGUCUCCUGUAAGCCUAAGAAUUGCCAAUACCAGC